Molecule: long non-coding RNA, 1628 nt
Organism: Equus asinus (donkey)
Lineage: Eukaryota; Metazoa; Chordata; Mammalia; Perissodactyla; Equidae
Source: Ensembl
CUCAGACUCUUUACACUACACCAAAAAUAAUUUCCAAUUAUUCCAGAGUUCAAGAAUUGAAUGACUUAAUAACAAGCUCUUCCACCUGGAUUAAGGUAUCAGACCGAGAGAAAACCAUCAAGACCUGAUGGGACGAUGUAAAAGGAUGUUGCAUAAGAAUCCGAAGUCGCUGCCCACUGAAGAAUUACCAAAGAUGAAGAAACUGAAGCUCAGAGAAAACUAAGCAAGCUACCUUGAUGAGCAGUGAAGCCAGGAUCUGGGAAACUGCUUCCCAGGAACUGGGCAACUGGGCAACUGCUCCAGGGCCUUGAGCACCAGAGCGCUCUUAACCCCAGCAGCACACAGAGACUUCUCAAACUGGCAAAGGGGGUUGGUAUUGUCCCUGAGCAAGGUGGGAGAUUAAGCCAGGGCAGAGGUCUCGCGCCUGAGCCGGGCAGGUUGUUUAGCUGUGCGAGGAGGCCCAGAGUAAGGCAACGGGAAGAGGGAGGGGCUGAGGGAAACUGGAGCGUACCGUCCACAUAAAAGCUGGGACUGGUUGGCCUGGUGCCCAGGGCCCUGCUGCCCAUAUUCCACCCCAGGUCCAGGUGACCUCUGGGGGUCCCUUCAGAGCUAGCAUGUUAGGGAAAUCAGAAAUAGUAUCCACAAUCCAUUGUGACUUGGCUUUAUCGAUGUGGACCGGCAGUCCAUCAUCUGGUUGAAUUGUAAUGGAUGUUGAUAAAUAACCAUUGACUGUAUAUCAAAUUCAUUCAGUAUUGUGAAUUUGUCCUUUUUGUGGUGAUUUUUAAUCUGACCUAACAAAGAGCUUAUGGACUCUGGAACUAGAUUACCUGGUUUUGAAUCUUGGCUUUGCCACAUACUGGCAGUGUGACUUUGAGCAUGUUACUUGACCUUUCUAUGCCUCUGUCUUCUCAUCUGUAAAAGGGGGAAAUUAACAGUACACCUAUUUCAUAGCACAGUUGUUUGGAGUUUUUUUUUUUUUGAGAAAGAUUAGCCCUGAGCUAACAUCUGCUGCCAAUCCUCCUCUUUUUGCUGAAGAAGACUGGCCCUGAGCUAACAUCCGUGCCCAUCUUCCUCCACUCCACAUGUGGGACGCUCACCACAGCACGGCUUGCCAAGCAGUGCCAUGUCUGCACCCGGGAUGCAAACCAACGAAUCCCAAGCCACAGAAGUGGAACAUGCGAACCUAACUGCUGCGCCACCGGGCCUGCCCCUCAUAGCACUGUUUUAAGAUUAAAGGGUUAUUAUGUAUAAAAGGACUUACAACAGUGAUGACAAAUAGUAGGUACUAUAUAUGUGUUAGCUAUUAUUAUUAUCACUAUCCAAAAAUGAUGGUAGAUGAAAACAUCUGUUCCAACUUUUGAGACAUAAUAAACCAUGGUAAUCUGUACCAAAAUGAACGCUACCUUCAAGACUUUAUUUUGCAGGUCCCUCUUCCUUGUUCCUGCGGGACUGUGGGGCACUGCACAAUACUGAUGGGUAGAAAUGCAAGGAUCAGGGGCCUCAGGGACAUAAUUUCAGCCUCUACAAUGUACCAGCUACUAGAAGGGACGAUUCUAAAUAUCUGGUCUCUGUGAACUGAAACUUUAGCAGUAAUUGGACACUAUGAGUCUUGAGAGAGAAGAAUCUUU